GACGAACGCUGGCGGCGUGCCUAAUACAUGCAAGUUGAGCGCUGAAGGUUGGUACUUGUACCAACUGGAUGAGCAGCGAACGGGUGAGUAACGCGUGGGGAAUCUGCCUUUGAGCGGGGGACAACAUUUGGAAACGAAUGCUAAUACCGCAUAAAAACUUUAAACACAAGUUUUAAGUUUGAAAGAUGCAAUUGCAUCACUCAAAGAUGAUCCCGCGUUGUAUUAGCUAGUUGGUGAGGUAAAGGCUCACCAAGGCGAUGAUACAUAGCCGACCUGAGAGGGUGGUCGGCCACAUUGGGACUGAGACACGGCCCAAACUCCUACGGGAGGCAGCAGUAGGGAAUCUUCGGCAAUGGACGAAAGUCUGACCGAGCAACGCCGCGUGAGUGAAGAAGGUUUUCGGAUCGUAAAACUCUGUUGGUAGAGAAGAACGUUGGUGAGAGUGGAAAGCUCACCAAGUGACGGUAACUACCCAGAAAGGGACGGCUAACUACGUG
This 497-nucleotide ribosomal RNA is filed under the name uncultured bacterium. RNAcentral describes it as "partial 16S ribosomal RNA". It matches the Rfam family "Bacterial small subunit ribosomal RNA", at positions 28 to 507 of the family's 1533-position model. The record is from RNAcentral.